This 493-nucleotide ribosomal RNA is filed under the name Haurakia marmorata. Its description in RNAcentral is "partial 16S ribosomal RNA". It matches the Rfam family "Bacterial large subunit ribosomal RNA", at positions 1811 to 2608 of the family's 2925-position model. Lineage: Eukaryota; Metazoa; Mollusca; Gastropoda; Littorinimorpha; Rissoidae. The record is from RNAcentral.
AAACAUGUCUCGUUGAGAUAAGAAUAUAAUGAGUCAAGCCUGCCCAGUGAUUAAAUAUUAAACGGCCGCAGUACUCUGACUGUGCAAAGGUAGCAAAAUAAUUAGCCCCUUAAUUGGGGGCCGGAAUGAACGGUUCGACAAGAGCAAGACUGUCUCUAAUAAAUUAAAUGGAAUUUAAACUCUAUGUGAAGAUGCGUAGAUAAAAUUAAAAGACGAGAAGACCCUUUUGAGCUUGAAAGAUUAAUUAGAAUCAAAUUUUAUACUAAGAUUUCUUUUUGGUUGGGGCGACCCGGGAGCAUUUAAACCUCCUUACUUAUGAUCCAGUAUAACUGAUUAAUAGAAUAAGCUACCAUAGGGAUAACAGCGUAAUUUUCUUUUUAAAUUUUAUUUGAAAGAAAAGUUUGCGACCUCGAUGUUGGAUUAAAGUGUCCUAAAGAUUAAAUAUUUUUAAGGGUAAGUCUGUUCGACCUUAUUAAAACUUUACAUGAUCUGA